This 61-nucleotide small nucleolar RNA is filed under the name Pyrobaculum aerophilum str. IM2. RNAcentral describes it as "Pyrobaculum sRNA 205". It matches the Rfam family "Pyrobaculum sRNA 205". From Rfam's summary of the family: Non canonical pseudouridylation guide sRNA features. Predicted to target 23S U2029 in Pyrobaculum. Lineage: Archaea; Thermoproteati; Thermoproteota; Thermoprotei; Thermoproteales; Thermoproteaceae. The record is from Rfam by way of RNAcentral.
UUAGCCCUAGGUAACACCCCUGAGCGGGGGCGGAUGAGCCUGGCGGGUUACCCCGGCCAAA